Molecule: unclassified non-coding RNA, 307 nt
Filed under: Ascomycota sp.
Lineage: Eukaryota; Fungi; Ascomycota
Description: partial contains small subunit ribosomal RNA, internal transcribed spacer 1, and 5.8S ribosomal RNA
Rfam family: Eukaryotic small subunit ribosomal RNA (bases 1-47)
Source: RNAcentral
AAAGUCGUAACAAGGUUUCCGUAGGUGAACCUGCGGAAGGAUCAUUACCAAAAGAAAAAAAAACCCCUUGGGCCGGCUUGGGACGCGUGUCGGUUUCGGACGGGGACUCGUUCCCCCGACGGCCCGGCCGCGGCCUCUCGCUGCACCCAUCCCACACCUUGUGAACCCAAUGUAUCGUCCUUGGGGGGUUUCGGCCCCCCAAACAAAACCUUUAUGAAACACCUUUUCGACAACCAAUUUGAUGGAAACUUUUUUUAUUGAUUUAAAAAAUCGACAACAACUUUUAACGGUGGAUCUCUUGGCUCGU